This is a long non-coding RNA of Nothoprocta perdicaria, 152 nucleotides long. RefSeq lists it as uncharacterized. The record is from RefSeq and is a predicted model, not a curated record. The transcript has 2 exons. NCBI's taxonomy places the organism in Eukaryota, Metazoa, Chordata, Aves, Tinamiformes, Tinamidae.
AGUUCAGGACUCGAUUGCAGGUUGAUAAAUACAGUUUGGGAGCUGGACUUUUUCACCACAUCCAUCCUAGGAAUGUUCGGAAGCAAUUCAUGACGAGUUGUGCGUGAUAAAGCUUGAACCUUCCCCAGGUUCCCCAGCCUGCUUGCAGAACU